UACGUAGGGAGCAAGCGUUGUUCGGAUUUACUGGGCGUAAAGGGCGCGUAGGCGGCAAAUUAAGUCAGCUGUGAAAUCUCCGAGCUUAACUCGGAACGGUCAGCUGAUACUGAUCUGCUAGAGUGCGGAAGGGGCAAUCGGAAUUCCUGGUGUAGCGGUGAAAUGCGCAGAUAUCAGGAGGAGCACCGGUGGCGAAGGCGGUUCUCUGGGCAUGUCCUGACGCUGAGGAGCGAAAGUGUGGGGGAGCGAAACAGG
Molecule: ribosomal RNA, 255 nt
Filed under: uncultured bacterium
Lineage: Bacteria
Description: partial 16S ribosomal RNA
Rfam family: Bacterial small subunit ribosomal RNA
Source: RNAcentral